UAAAUGUUAUUCGAGAUUGUACGAAUAUUUGUAUCCUACUGAGUAUUCUUUAUACUUAUCCCUUUUCCCUACCUUACAGGUUAGUACGGGUUGUGUCGGAGUGCGAUGGCUCGAUGGUGUGGUUGUGCCUCGUUUCAUGGGACAAAACUCUAAAAUCUAGCACGUAACUUUAUUUGUAUUUAAUAUUAUUGCAAUAGACACAUAUGUUUAAUUUAAUUAUUUGGACAAGUUCGCUAAAAAUUUAGUUGCAUGUUUUCUAGGAUAUUAACAUUCCCAUCUCUUUAAAUGUUUAAAUUGCACUCGAAUUUUAAUUAAGAUUUAUGAUAUUUGGUGUAAAUCCCAUCUUACCUUUCUGCCAUUUUAAAACUAUUGGAUGCUAAAACGGACAAGUGGCUGCAUAAACGUCAACAGUUAUAUAUAUAUUUUUUACGGUCACUUAUCACCAAAAGAUUUAAAUUCAAUGAUUGAAUACAUGUAUGGUGCUGUACACUUUUAUAAAAAUCAGAAAGUAUGCAUGGGGCUACAUACUUC
RNAcentral lists this long non-coding RNA (531 nucleotides) under Olea europaea (common olive). RNAcentral describes it as "long non-coding RNA (OEUR_LNC002162)". The record is from RNAcentral. Lineage: Eukaryota; Viridiplantae; Streptophyta; Magnoliopsida; Lamiales; Oleaceae.